Molecule: long non-coding RNA, 469 nt
Filed under: Nicotiana benthamiana
Lineage: Eukaryota; Viridiplantae; Streptophyta; Magnoliopsida; Solanales; Solanaceae
Description: long non-coding RNA (NBEN_LNC008966)
Source: RNAcentral
GAUGACGACUGGCUGACUUACCGAACGGACGGACACUUUGAUCUUGAUCGUGCAAUCUAAGUCGCAAUGAAGGACUAUCGUCAAUGCGGCUGGAGCCGCUAGAUCCCACAGCAGCGAUCUUCAAACUGAUAAACCAACCUUUCACUUCUCAUAUGGGGAAUCAUCCACAUGAGGACCAGAAGAAGGCAUUCUAAGGCUAUAUAGAGCCCUUUCCAAGAAAUGAGCUAUCUUGCUUAGCAUACCUUACCAAAGAUCUUCAAAUCAAUCUCCUUGGUACUUGAACUUGAUUCUUUAAAGCCGGGAACUCCAUUCAAUUAGCUCGGCAUAAGCUCUCCCCUUGCUUUGCUCAUUUUCUCUUGAUACGCUUACCUUGCCCGUUUAGGUUUUCAAGAAGUAGACAGGGGCAGGGAAAUUACUAGCUAGGUUCUUAGUCUCAGUGCUCUCUCAGCGGCCAGCUCGUCAAAGUACC